Long non-coding RNA from Cyprinus carpio (common carp), 737 nucleotides. NCBI's taxonomy places the organism in Eukaryota, Metazoa, Chordata, Actinopteri, Cypriniformes, Cyprinidae. The record is from Ensembl.
AUAACAGCGUCCAGAUCCUCUCUGGAAAUGGCGGAAUCUUUGAAUUUUUCCUUUAUUGGCGAUUGUUCAAUCUCUCUUUUCCGAAAGAGAGUGGUUCAAAAUUUACUGACAGGAUAUAUAUAAUUUCUGGCAGAUUGAGCAGAGUGAAGGACUAUGCGUGCAUUGCUCCCGAAGGGUCACGUGAUCCCUCUUUUUACUAGUUUUAUUAGUUUUAUAAGAAUUAGCAUUUUAACUAGUGACAAUUUAAUUGUUGAUAUCACGAAUUCAUAUCCUGUGAAGGAAUAAAAGUCAAAAAGGCUUGCCAUAUAUAACCCCAACCCGCUACACACCCACCCACUCGGGAAUUCUCACUCCAAGUUGAACUCAAAAGUUGGCAGACCUGCUUUGCCAGAUGGAUCAAAAUCACGCAAAUUUACGUCUGAGAUCACACCACAGGGACGUGGCUGUUUCUGCAGUUGGUUUAAAGGGAUGGAGCUCAGUCAACUUCCUCUUGUGCUCUGUGGAUGGUCUCCCUCUAAUGUCAGUCAACAGAAGAACAGCAGUCAGACAUCAGACCAGAACCAGAGUGAAGAGACAUACAAGACACUGCAGUCCGGGUGGGGGGCGUGAAUGACCAGCGCUCUCUUCCAUCUUCAAUGUCACGACUGAGGUGAGAACCUAAAGCAAGGCACUGAACCCCAACUGCUCCCCAGGUGCUGCAGCAAAAUGAAAAUAAAUAAAGUAUUGCCCACUGCUCA